Molecule: ribosomal RNA, 500 nt
Filed under: uncultured bacterium
Lineage: Bacteria
Description: partial 16S ribosomal RNA
Rfam family: Bacterial small subunit ribosomal RNA
Source: RNAcentral
AUUGAACGCUGGCGGCAUGCCUUACACAUGCAAGUCGAACGGCAGCACGGGAGCAAUCCUGGUGGCGAGUGGCGAACGGGUGAGUAAAGUAUCGGAACGUGCCCAGUCGUGGGGGAUAACGUAGCGAAAGUUACGCUAAUACCGCAUACGAUCUAUGGGUGAAAGCGGGGGAUCGCAAGACCUCGCGCGAUGGGAGCGGCCGAUAUCAGAUUAGGUAGUUGGUGGGGUAAAGGCUCACCAAGCCGACGAUCUGUAGCUGGUCUGAGAGGACGACCAGCCACACUGGGACUGAGACACGGCCCAGACUCCUACGGGAGGCAGCAGUGGGGAAUUUUGGACAAUGGGCGCAAGCCUGAUCCAGCCAUGCCGCGUGCAGGAUGAAGGCCUUCGGGUUGUAAACUGCUUUUGUACGGAACGAAAAGGUUUGACUUAAUACGUUGGACUCAUGACGGUACCGUAAGAAUAAGCACCGGCUAACUACGUGCCAGCCGCCGCGGUAA